GUGAUGGGCAUGCAAUGGCCUUAGGCCCAAGCCACAAAUCCAAGAGAGGUGGAAGGUUUCAGAAUGCAUUUCAUUUCAGUCUUCACUCCGAUCACGUCCAUGAGCUAGGUCAUCGUAUAACUCACCUGAGCCACAACGUCGCCGCACCGAAAAUCAUCUCCGACGGAGGAGGAGGUCCAAACACAGUUAAACCUACAUCAUCCGACUUGUUUUUGCUCUCUCUUUCACAAGCUCAACCUAACUUUUCUCAAUUCCUAGCCAAAACUCCAAAUUGAACAGAAAUUUCUAUGAACCCAACAUUUCAAGUUAAAAUUAAAUGCCACGGAGGAGGAAUCAAAGCCUAAAAUGUUAGGCCUGUGAUUCCACUUAUCUAAUUCUACAUUAUGGUAACUUGUUUGAGGCAAAAAGAAGAAUGAAACGGAAAAUCACCAACCUUCAGGGUCGAGGCUCACCCUGGUGAUUGCUGCAGAUUGAAGAAGAUGGUUGAGAAGAGAAAACCAGAGAUUUGGUCAGGGUUGUCACGCAUAUGAUGAGAAGAGACUAGGCUUGGCAUGGACUUAAGGCAUGGCAUGAGGAGAUUUAUGGCAUAUGAAGAAAAUUUUAAUGGCUUGCAAUUAAAGGAAAGGGUAAGAUUAGGGUUUAGGAAUAGGACUAGGUAGUUAACAUUUAUCAACUGUUUAACAAAAAAAUCAACAGUUGACCAAAGUCAUCUGUAGGUAAAAAAUGAAAUCUUGUGUAAUUGGUUUUGUAAUUUGGAUUUGCAAUGUAAAAUGGAUGUUUUGAUAAUGAAAAAUGGCCUUAGGUGAAAUGUCUUGUAUGUAAAGUAACUUUUCUCCCUGGUUUGAAUAUUUGAGCUUGAAUUUAAAAUGGCCUUGAAUGA
Long non-coding RNA from Lathyrus oleraceus (garden pea), 880 nucleotides. RefSeq lists it as uncharacterized. The record is from RefSeq and is a predicted model, not a curated record. The transcript has 2 exons. Lineage: Eukaryota; Viridiplantae; Streptophyta; Magnoliopsida; Fabales; Fabaceae.